RNAcentral lists this ribosomal RNA (301 nucleotides) under uncultured bacterium. Its description in RNAcentral is "partial 16S ribosomal RNA". It matches the Rfam family "Bacterial small subunit ribosomal RNA", at positions 509 to 809 of the family's 1533-position model. The record is from RNAcentral.
CAGCCGCCACGGUAAUACGGAGGGAGCUAGCGUUGUUCGGAAUUACUGGGCGUAAAGCGCGCGUAGGCGGUUACUCAAGUCAGAAGUGAAAGCCCGGGGCUCAACCCCGGAACUGCCUUUGAAACUAGGUGACUAGAAUCUUGGAGAGGUCAGUGGAAUUCCGAGUGUAGGGGUGAAAUUCGUAGAUAUUCGGAAGAACACCAGUGGCGAAGGCGACUGACUGGACAAGUAUUGACGCUGAGGUGCGAAAGCGUGGGGAGCAAACAGGAUUAGAUACCCGCGUAGUCCCUGUCUCUUAUAU